Molecule: ribosomal RNA, 497 nt
Filed under: uncultured bacterium
Lineage: Bacteria
Description: partial 16S ribosomal RNA
Rfam family: Bacterial small subunit ribosomal RNA
Source: RNAcentral
GAUGAACGCUGGCGGCGUGCCUAAUACAUGCAAGUCGAGCGAACGGACGAGAAGCUUGCUUUUCUGAUGUUAGCGGCGGACGGGUGAGUAACACGUGGAUAACCUACCUAUAAGACUGGGAUAACUUCGGGAAACCGGAGCUAAUACCGGAUAAUGUUUUGAACCGCAUGGUUCAAAAGUGAAAGACGGUCUUGCUGUCACUUAUAGAUGGAUCCGCGCUGCAUUAGCUAGUUGGUAAGGUAACGGCUUACCAAGGCAACGAUGCAUAGCCGACCUGAGAGGGUGAUCGGCCACACUGGAACUGAGACACGGUCCAGACUCCUACGGGAGGCAGCAGUAGGGAAUCUUCCGCAAUGGGCGAAAGCCUGACGGAGCAACGCCGCGUGAGUGAUGAAGGUCUUCGGAUCGUAAAACUCUGUUAUUAGGGAAGAACAUAUGUGUAAGUAACUGUGCACAUCUUGACGGUACCUAAUCAGAAAGCCACGGCUAACUACGUG